RNAcentral lists this ribosomal RNA (301 nucleotides) under uncultured bacterium. RNAcentral's name for it is "partial 16S ribosomal RNA". It matches the Rfam family "Bacterial small subunit ribosomal RNA", at positions 509 to 807 of the family's 1533-position model. The record is from RNAcentral.
CAGUAGCCGCGGGAAUACGGAGGGGGCUAGCGUUGUUCGGAAUUACUGGGCGUAAAGCGCACGUAGGCGGCUUGGUAAGUUAGAGGUGAAAGCCCGGAGCUCAACUCCGGAAUUGCCUUUAAGACUGCCGAGCUAGUAGGUGAGAGAGGUAAGUGGAAUUCCGAGUGUAGAGGUGAAAUUCGUAGAUAUUCGGAAGAACACCAGUGGCGAAGGCGGCUUACUGGCUCAUUCUAGACGCUGAGGUGCGAAAGCGUGGGGAGCAUACAGGAUUAGAUACCCCAGUAGUCCCUGUCUCUUAUAC